RNAcentral lists this ribosomal RNA (254 nucleotides) under uncultured bacterium. RNAcentral describes it as "partial 16S ribosomal RNA". It matches the Rfam family "Bacterial small subunit ribosomal RNA", at positions 524 to 776 of the family's 1533-position model. The record is from RNAcentral.
UACGUAGGGGGCAAGCGUUGUCCGGAAUCAUUGGGCGUAAAGAGCGUGUAGGCGGCCCGAUAAGUCCGCUGUGAAAGUCCAGGGCUCAACCCUGGAAUGCCGGUGGAUACUGUCGGGCUCGAGUUCGGAAGAGGUGAGUGGAAUUCCGUGGUGUAGCGGUGAAAUGCGCAGAUAUCAGGAGGAACACCAGUGGCGAAGGCGGCUCACUGGCCCGGUACUGACGCUGAGGUGCGAAAGCGUGGGGAGCAAACAGG